Molecule: long non-coding RNA, 723 nt
Filed under: Olea europaea (common olive)
Lineage: Eukaryota; Viridiplantae; Streptophyta; Magnoliopsida; Lamiales; Oleaceae
Description: long non-coding RNA (OEUR_LNC013352)
Source: RNAcentral
UUUUGCAUAAAACAUGGCCUAAAAAGUCAUGCUCAUAAUCAAUUUUCAAGAAAAUUCAAGAAAUUUGAUCCUGAAGAAUCAAUCGUGGACAAUCUAUUAUAUGAUGUAGUAGAAGAAAGCGGCAGAAACUUAUCAUUCAUAAACAUGUUACAACAAAAGCUUGCAAUGUACUAAGAUAGCUGCUGGGGGUCUUAAAUAUGUUCUUCAGUGAAAAUAUGUUGCAAAUUAUCACUUACAAGAGUUCUGCAAUUGUUCGACCAUUAGAAUCCAUAAUCUGUAAGAUAAAGCCAGGUCCAUUUACCCACAAACACCCUCAUUGCUGGACAUCUCAUUGGCUACCCAGUGCAAGAUCAUGCCAAGUGUCUACCUCAACUUGUUGGAUCUCCAUAUCUGAGAACAUAUUUGUAUUUAUCAUAGGCAAGCCAAAGGAACUAAUUCAAGAAAACACAAUAGAAAUAAUAUCACUGAAAUUAUGUAGAAGAAAACUAUCUUGAGUCCCUAUCAAAAAAAAAAUAUAUCUUGAGUCUAUAGCUGAGAGUCAAAACAGCUUAUAUGAAAAUCGAACCAACAAAAUGCCAUGUGGAUCAAUGUAAUUUGAUAAUGGGAUUGAAUGGUGAACUAACUUCCAAACUACGGAUCAGAAGAGGCACAGAAAAUCCAAAUGAAAUGAAGUAAAAAGGUUCCACAAAAACUGCCUUUUCUCUCUCCAAUUUAAUACACUUC